GACGAACGCUGGCGGCGUGCUUAACACAUGCAAGUCGAACGAAGUGGCGAACGGGUGAGUAACGCGUAAUCAACCUGCCCUUCAGAGGGGGACAACAGUUGGAAACGACUGCUAAUACCGCAUACUGAAGGAGGGGAUUGCGUCGGAAUAGCUAGUUGGAGGGGGAACGGCCCACCAAGGCGAUGAUGAGUAGCCGGGCUUAGAGAAUGAACGACCGCUUUGGGACUAGGACGAGACCAAGACUCCUACGAGAGCCAGCAGUGGGGAAUGUUACGCAAUGGACGAAAGUCUGACGGGGCAACGCCGCGUGAGUGAUAACGGCCUUCGGAAUGUAAAGCUCUGUUAAUCGGGACGCGGUACCGGAAUAGAAGACCACGGCUAACUACGUGCCAGCAGCCGCGGUAAUAC
RNAcentral lists this ribosomal RNA (408 nucleotides) under uncultured bacterium. RNAcentral's name for it is "partial 16S ribosomal RNA". It matches the Rfam family "Bacterial small subunit ribosomal RNA", at positions 28 to 526 of the family's 1533-position model. The record is from RNAcentral.